This 253-nucleotide ribosomal RNA is filed under the name uncultured bacterium. RNAcentral describes it as "partial 16S ribosomal RNA". It matches the Rfam family "Bacterial small subunit ribosomal RNA", at positions 524 to 776 of the family's 1533-position model. The record is from RNAcentral.
UACGUAGGGGGCGAGCGUUGUCCGGAGUUACUGGGCGUAAAGCGCUUGUAGGCGGUCCACCAAGUUUGGGGUGACAGUUGCCGACUUAAUCGGCAAUGUGCCUCAAAGACUGGCGGACUUGAGGGCCACAGAGGGACAUGGAACUCCAGGUGUAGCGGUGAAAUGCGCAGAUAUCAGGAGGAACACCGGUGGCGAAGGCGGGUCUCUGGGCAGUAACUGACGCUGAGGAACGAAAGCGUGGGGAGCGAACAGG